Molecule: ribosomal RNA, 305 nt
Filed under: uncultured bacterium
Lineage: Bacteria
Description: bacterial SSU rRNA
Rfam family: Bacterial small subunit ribosomal RNA
Source: RNAcentral
UUCCUACGGGGGGCAGCAGUGAGGAAUAUUGGUCAAUGGGCGGAAGCCUGAACCAGCCAAGUCGCGUGAGGGAAUAAGGCCCUACGGGUCGUAAGCCUCUUUUGCCGGGGAGCAAGGGCCGGGACGAGUCCCGGUCCGGAGAGUACCCGGAGAAAAAGCAUCGGCUAACUCCGUGCCAGCAGCCGCGGUAAUACGGAGGAUGCGAGCGUUGUCCGGAUUUAUUGGGUUUAAAGGGUGCGUAGGCGGGCUUUUAAGUCAGCGGUAAAAGCCCGGGGCUCAACCCCGGCGAGCCGUUGAAACUGGCU